AUAAAACAUAAGUUUUCGACAUAAGAUAAAACGCGGCGCGGGUGCACUAGGUCGCUCCCAUAGGUCGCUCCGAAACACAUGCUUCACCUCUCCAAAACGCGCGCGGGUUGAUGACGUCGCUCCAGAGGUCGCUCUGCAUCCGCCGCGGGUGAGUGACGUCGCUGCCAUAGGUCGCUCCGCAUAAUGAAAGUCGUCGACAAGAAGUUGGGCUUGGAGCGGGUGUAUCACCUCGGUGCAAGACGUCGCGCCAGCCUUCGAUUCUUCUGGAGCGGGUGUCGCACGUCGCUCCCGUACCCCGCUCUGGUGCUUUGCUCGCCUAAACAGCAUUUUCCACUCCCUUUUUGAUCCCAAAUGCUUCCAAGUACCUCUAAUAUCUCCAAUGGAAACUCCAAAACCUGAUAGAGACUUAUGCAGUGCAAAAAGAGACUAAAAUGCAUGAUUCCUAAUCUAGAUGAUCAAAACAUGCAAGAAAUAGAGGGUUAAAACAAUGUAAUUAUGCAAGA
RNAcentral lists this long non-coding RNA (503 nucleotides) under Brassica napus (rape). RNAcentral's name for it is "long non-coding RNA (BNAP_LNC001406)". The record is from RNAcentral. Lineage: Eukaryota; Viridiplantae; Streptophyta; Magnoliopsida; Brassicales; Brassicaceae.